AGCUUUGUGCAGUGGCAGUAUCUAGCCAAUGAGGUUUAUCCGAGGCGCGAUUAUUACUAAUAGAAAUUAGGCUAAAUAAAUGGGCAUUUAUUUGCUGGGGGGAAAAAAAACCCCAACUAUGUUAUCCUAGAUCAAAUAACUCCAGG
Molecule: small nuclear RNA, 146 nt
Filed under: Canis lupus dingo (dingo)
Lineage: Eukaryota; Metazoa; Chordata; Mammalia; Carnivora; Canidae
Description: U4 spliceosomal RNA (ENSCAFG00020013679.1)
Rfam family: U4 spliceosomal RNA
About the family: U4 small nuclear RNA (U4 snRNA) is a component of the major U2-dependent spliceosome. The structure of U4 snRNA from yeast and human has been reported.
Source: Rfam by way of RNAcentral